This is a non-coding RNA of Lolium perenne, 2267 nucleotides long. Lineage: Eukaryota; Viridiplantae; Streptophyta; Magnoliopsida; Poales; Poaceae. The record is from RefSeq and is a predicted model, not a curated record.
UCCACUUCCUAUCCCAUCCCUUUUCUUUUCUCUAAACAGUUGGCCAACGGACGACCUCCCAAUCAGCGGCGGCGCCGGCGGAAGGACAAGCGCUCCAUAUCAUCCCAUACCCAAGGGUGCCGCCCUCUUCUCUCUCGCAGGCAGAAGUGUCUGCCCCCUUGCCUGAGCAUCUCGAUAUUCGACUUUGUUCCACCAGCUCCGGCAAUAGAUUCUUGAGUGACGAAUGAACGAGAAGGCCGACGAAACUCCGAAGGGGGCUUCCUCUUUUCCAUCUCACAUCCUCUCCUUUUGAGGAACCGCUGGACGUGGCGAGGACGGAGAUGGAUGCGUGUACCAGCAGAUGCAAUAUCCUCGCCAGAAUCAGUCGCUCGAGCCCUAAGUGGAGGAUGAUGUCGAGCUCUACCCCACGCAUCUCUUCUCCGUCCUGGAGGGAUUAGGUUGGUCCUUUUUUAUAAGAGCGGGAGUAGCUACGGGUGCCUGGCAGACGGAGGAGAACCGAAGAUAUCUGACGGAUGAGGCGCAGUCCACGCAGUACCUCCCUGCAGCUGCUCGGUCUUCGGUCUGGCGGUGUUGCGGACGUCGGCGCAGCAGCGCCGGCCUGCUCCUUCCAUGCCUCACCGUUCUGGCCCCGACACCUAUCCUGCAGAGUCGAAUCGGUCUCUGGCAUCGAGGCGUUCUCCAUCCACAGGGCUGGUGGUGUGGUACCUCCGUGUCUUCGUGGUUCACAAUGGGCAUCAUGUUUGUUACUUCAGAACUUGCUGUUUCUGCUUCAUGUGCAGGAAGGAAGACUAAACAUUCAGUAAGCUAGCUUAAUAUUUUUUUGUUGAAUCGCCAUAUUAAUAUAAUACUGGUGUUUGACAUUGGAAGAGUUAAUUGAACUAUUUUUUAUGUCUCAUGAAACAUGAGAUAUACAUAAUUUGUUGCAUGGUUCAGCGGCUGCAAAGUGGAGAGCAUCAAGAGAUGGAUGCAUGAAUAACAUAAGCUUUCUAAUUGGUGAUGUUUCAGCUGCUGAGCGUGUCUUCCAGAUCAUUUACUCUUAGUGUGUUCUUAUCAUUUGUUUGAGGAUUCUACAACUAAUCCACUGAUAAGUAUCCAUGUGAAGAGGCGAGGAAAGUGAUGUUCCUCUCCUCAUGUAUAUUUGAUUUAGGACGUCUUUAUCUGCAGGUGCGGUCCCUUCAGUCCUCAUGAAGGUUAUCUUUUCGUCUAUUUUUGCUUUUGUUCAAAUAUCAUGUGGUACUGCUAUCUAGACCAAUUAGUUCAGAGUUGGUGCAACCAAUUUUUGAUGUGUUGAUCAUUGAUAGUUUAAAUAGGUUGUAUAAAGAGGACAUGGAAUACACAGUGAUUUGGCAUGAGCUUCUUUAUUUGCACGACUCUUUGUUCAAGAGAGGCUCCGUAGCUUAAAAGAGAAGGCAACCCAACAACCGCUUGGUGUUGAUUAUUUGAUCACGAGGUCAUCUUAUCUAAAUUACCACUUCUUAUUCAUUAUUUAAUUACUCACACUUCAAAAUUAAGUAACUGAAUGUUCCUCCCAUUUGGAUUCCUUAUCUGGAGUACAAAAGAACCCAACAGAUCCUCACCUUAACGGUGGCCCCCACGACACCGCCGGUGGUCUCCCACCGCUGGGUGAGCGCUAGACGACCAGCAGUGCUGAUGCCUGCUCCAGAUCAAGGGAGCAUGGCGUCUCCUAGAAGUUUCCCUGCUGUCACUAUGACUUUCUCCAUCACCAUCAUCUGUUUUCAGUUUUAUCUAUAAAAGGUGUUAUCUAAUUAUUAUUUGUUGCAGAAUUAGCCGAACCAUAUGUACAUCCACUUUCAUAUAGUACUGAUAUGAAUAUAUGAUUGUGCUGCAUGUUUGUGUACUCAUGGUCAACUUGCCAUCAUAUUCUUACCUACAGAAGAAGGAUUCCAUGGUCAGUGAUGCAUCAAAUGUACUUUUCAUAUGCAAAUCAUAUGAGUUCUUCAUUUCCAGUACCAUCCUGCAGCUGAAAGCAAGAUUAUAAAUUCGGGAUUUGGUGCCUGAAUGCUUGGUAGAGAAGGUGCUUUUCUUAGCUAGGAAUCUACGGGUCUGUGGUUGGUGUCGGAAGAACUAAUGCUUGAUUGCAUCUUUACUUAUAUUUUUCAGUUUGCUCACAGCGUAAGCUUUUGUGAUGUAUAAUUUUGUAACGUUUCUACGUAGGUGUCUUGGAUUGCUCCUAUAUGGACAUAUUUGUUUCACAAUCUAUACUGGAUCUCGAGAUGCUUUACAUACUGCUUUUUUUUACUUCCAAA